UCAGCUGAACAAGCGAUUGACGACUUUAGACGCCAUAUCUACCACUUCACCGACUCCUUCACAGCCAGGUUCUAAGCUGCGAGGCGUGCUCGAAGCUUUGCGUCGCGGCUAUUCAAGUUAUGACCUCGACUUCUGCAAGCGUGGUUACCGGGCUCGCACGACCCGUGACAACGAAGCAACUGUCGUCGCCACGUGCCUCACCAGCUAACCUACAAGGUGAAUCCCGUGCAACCAAGUGACCGUGUCACUACUCCUGGGGACAACGCAACCAAGUGACCGUGGCACUUCUCUGAGGUACAACGGAGCAAGCCGUCGUCGCUACGUUCGAUCUUCGGCAGUUAUAUUCACCAGGUGCGAUUCUAGCUUGCGAGGGUGGCGCGGCCAUUAAAUCAACUAAUUGGCAAUGUUAACUGUUUUAGACUGAUUGGCAAAAGAAGGCCGCUGCCACAUUGGGUCGUCGUCGUGACGGAAGCGGAGAGGACUGGGUGGGGCGAUGUAGCUUUAGGCUUAGCUAACACUAGGAAGGGUAGCUCGCACUGCGCAGGCUCCAGCUGGCAGGGGUCCUCUCUCGUUUGCGACACGGACAUCGGCCCAUUCCGAGUGCUAUUGCUUCCCGGUCAUAAUUUCGCGUGUCGGCACGCGCGAAAUGUGGAAGUAAAUUGCACCCGGAAUUAAUUAGUGUCAGGUUUCUUCCAGCGAAACAGAAGAAGAACGGACGUUGCCUACGGUCUGCAGCGCGGUGCGCUGCGGCGAAGACGGUGGUGGGUGGUCACAUAUUGUUUUUCUUCCUGAUGUUCUCGUCCCUAUUGCUGCGCGUCACGCCGUGCUUUCGUCGCUCGACAAGCCAACCAUCGAGGACUAGUGCCAACGCCCACUCCAGCGCGAUGACGCUUGUCUUGGUGAGUACAUGCUUUCUGGUUACUUUCGUCAUUUAACAAGUGCCCCCCCCCCCCCCUUUUUUUUUUCCCCCCGAUCUGCAACCUGUGCCUUGGCCCCUGGCACCCGGUUCCUGCACGCGGCCGUGUCUCGCACAGCUGACGUUCUGCACCUGUCUGCCAUCCAGCAGCUGAUCGUGUCUUCACGUCUGUUCCUGCCUCACUGCUAUUGUGUCCUGGUGAAUGAAGAUGCCUGCAGAACGUCCACUGCACUCCGCAUCCUUUGGUGCCAGGCACACGCGACGGAUUUUCCUGCACCCGGCCGUGUCUCGCACAGAUGACGUUCAGCACCUGUCUGUCGUCCAGCAGCUGAUCGCGUCUUCAGGUCUGUUCCUGCCUCACUGCUAUCGUGUCCUGGUAAAUGAAGAUGCCUGCAAUCCCCGCCCUGCAGAACAUCCACUGCGCUCCGUAUGCUUUGGUGCCAGACGCACGCGACGGAUUUUCCUGCACCCGGCCGUGUCUCGCACAGAUGACGUUCAGCACCUGUCUGUCGUCCAGCAGCUGAUCGUGUCUUCACUUCUGUUCCUGCCUCACUGCUAUUGGUGUCCUGCUGAAUGAAGAUACCUGCAGUAAGUCGACUGCAUUCUGCAACCCUUGUCCUGACAUCUGCCCCCCAUCAAAGUCCUGUCCCACCAGCGUAGUACGCAGUCGCACCAAGUGCAGACCGUAGGGAGGCGGGCGUUGCUCUCGCCACUCAUCACAUUGCUGCUCCCGAAGGCGCCGUGCUGCAGGAAACGUUCUUCGCUGCCUCGACGAGGCCACACAACUAUGAAGUCCCAAGAAAGAGCACGACGUCGCGUAACAUGAAUGCUCAUCUACCAUCCCGGUUGGAGUUGUUCGUUCCACCCUAUAGCAGUGCGACGGCCACUCGAUGAAGUCGCACGUUAUUCAGUGGCUGUGAUCGUAUGAUGUGGUUACCGAAAAAUUCCAGGUGACAUGCUGUUCUAGCUCGUCGUAGUGGUACACUGCUCAGACUCUAGCAUUGGGUUGAUCUGUGGAUUCUCGUUUCUUACGUUCAUUGACAUUCUGUGCUUUUGUAAUGGUACAUUGAUGCAGAAUUGCGUUUGUAUGAGUGUGUGUGUGUGUGUGUGUGUGUGUGUGUGUGUGUGUGUGUGUGUGUGUGUGUGUGUGUGUGUGUGUGUGUGUGCGCACGUGUGUGAGUGUGUAUGUUUGUGU
Molecule: long non-coding RNA, 2111 nt
Organism: Dermacentor silvarum
Lineage: Eukaryota; Metazoa; Arthropoda; Arachnida; Ixodida; Ixodidae
Exons: 5
Source: RefSeq, a predicted model, not a curated record